Molecule: transfer RNA, 82 nt
Filed under: uncultured Nitrospirae bacterium MY2-3C
Lineage: Bacteria; Pseudomonadati; Nitrospirota
Description: tRNA-Xle
Rfam family: tRNA
About the family: Transfer RNA (tRNA) molecules are approximately 80 nucleotides in length. Their secondary structure includes four short double-helical elements and three loops (D, anti-codon, and T loops).
Source: RNAcentral
GCGAGAGUGGCGGAACUGGCAGACGCGCUGGACUUAGGAUCCAGUUGGGCAACCAGUAGGGGUUCGACUCCCCUCUUUCGCA